Molecule: long non-coding RNA, 346 nt
Filed under: Mytilus galloprovincialis (Mediterranean mussel)
Lineage: Eukaryota; Metazoa; Mollusca; Bivalvia; Mytilida; Mytilidae
Source: RNAcentral
UGUUGUGAGCACAAUAUAUUUAAUUGUGCGCACAAUAUGUUUAAGUUGUGCGCACAAUAUAUUUAAGUUGUGCGCACAAUAUAUUUAAAUUGUGCGCACAAUAUAUUAUUUUGUGCGCACAAUUUAUUUAAGUUGUGCGCACAAUAUAUUUUUUUUUCUUUGCAUGUCCCUAGCGGGGCUCCGUACAAAACAAACUACUGUAACAAUCAAAUCCAGGUAAAAUUAGAUAUUUCAGUGGUAUUCAUAAUUUCUUUACUUUAUGGUCGUGUAAAAGAAAGAAAACAAGACGAAAAAAUUGGGUCGUAUAUUGCAAUUGGAUAUUUGCACAUUGGAUAAACCAAUUGCU